RNAcentral lists this ribosomal RNA (376 nucleotides) under uncultured bacterium. Its description in RNAcentral is "bacterial SSU rRNA". It matches the Rfam family "Bacterial small subunit ribosomal RNA", at positions 524 to 898 of the family's 1533-position model. The record is from RNAcentral.
UACGGAGGGUGCAAGCGUUAAUCGGAAUUACUGGGCGUAAAGCGCGCGUAGGCGGACAAUUAAGUCAGAUGUGAAAACUCUGGGCUCAACCGAGAGCAUGCAUCUGAUACUGGUAGUCUUGAGUGUAGAAGAGGAGAGUGGAAUUCCUAGUGUAGCGGUGAAAUGCGUAGAUAUUAGGAGGAACACCAGUGGCGAAGGCGACUCUCUGGUCUAUAACUGACGCUGAGGCGCGAAAGCGUGGGGAGCAAACAGGAUUAGAUACCCUGGUAGUCCACGCCGUAAACGAUGGGUACUAGGUGUUGGGGGUUUCGACGCCCUCAGUGCCGCAGUAAACACAUUAAGUACCCCGCCUGGGGAGUACGGUCGCAAGACUGAA